This is a long non-coding RNA of Neltuma alba, 310 nucleotides long. RefSeq lists it as uncharacterized. NCBI's taxonomy places the organism in Eukaryota, Viridiplantae, Streptophyta, Magnoliopsida, Fabales, Fabaceae. The record is from RefSeq and is a predicted model, not a curated record. The transcript is spliced from 3 exons.
GCAGGGAAGCUUUCGGGGAGGAGAUAGAUUACGUGCAAGUCGGCUUUCGAACCAAGGAUUUAAUUGGCGUUCUAGCUUACCAAGAAGAAACCAAGAGCAAGGUACCCGCACAGGAGAGUAGGCAGAAGGGCCCAGUUCAUCCAAAGGAAAAGAGAAGCUGGUGGAAGCUUAGCUAAGGUGGAAGGAAAGAAGAGCUUAGUGUUUAGUUAGUUAAUUAAUCUGGAAUAUUUUUGUGUUUGUUUCCCCCUUCCUUUUGUGAUGCUUAUAUUUCAUUUUGUGAGGUUAUGUAAUUUCCACUUAUGGGAUGUAU